AUGUUCUGCCCAAGCAGACGUCUGCUCCAUCCCCAGAUCCCCGCUCGCCCCUGCAACACACGGGCCGAUUCCGCACGCCGCUGGUUCUCCACCUCCCCUCCCUCUCCUCGCUACAGGACGCCGCUGGGCGAAGCUCGGCCCGCGUCGGCGGCGCCGGGGUCACUCUCCUGCCUCAAGCAGCGUCGGCGGCGCGGGACGCAGCGGGCUCGGCCUGUCACCGACGCGAGUGUCCCUCUCGAGCGGCGGCGGUGGCGGAUUCAGCGGACGCGGGCCAUGGCGGCGGCGGCGGCGGUGGACGCAGCGGGCUCGGCCUGCGUCGGCGGCGGCGGGUCCAUCUCCUUUCUCGAGUAG
This 351-nucleotide ribosomal RNA is filed under the name Triticum aestivum (bread wheat). Its description in RNAcentral is "partial small subunit ribosomal RNA". Lineage: Eukaryota; Viridiplantae; Streptophyta; Magnoliopsida; Poales; Poaceae. The record is from RNAcentral.